Long non-coding RNA from Thunnus maccoyii (southern bluefin tuna), 1070 nucleotides. RefSeq lists it as uncharacterized. NCBI's taxonomy places the organism in Eukaryota, Metazoa, Chordata, Actinopteri, Scombriformes, Scombridae. The record is from RefSeq and is a predicted model, not a curated record. The transcript is spliced from 5 exons.
CUACUGUAGAAACAUGGUGGUGCAACAUGGUGCGCACCGUGGAAGACCCGCUCUGUGUGGAUAUAAAGGGCUGAUUGUAAGGAUGAUUCUAUGGAAAGAAGGAGAGGAGAGGUUGCUAUCUGUGGCUUAGUGGUGUAUCUCAGAGAAAAGGGAAAAGAUCUCUUCAAAGAGCAGUCGAAAUAAUUUGCGGAGCAGACACCAUGGCCUGUGCUUGAGUGCCACUGGAUGAGCAGCAGGUGACCGAGUCUGGCCCGCUGGGAGAGAAGCACACUGCACUGCACCUGAAAGGAAGGAGCGGUAUUUUGUGCCUUAUAAGCCCCUGCCAGAACAUAGCUCUCCCGCUGAGGUGGAGGAGUUUUUGGAACAUGCCAAAUUCAUCAGAGGACCUGGAUUGGCUGCUCACGCUGCAUCAUGACAAGUUUUGGCGUCAGGUGGACCACCCAUGACUGAGGACAUUGAAAGUCCAUCGAUGCUACAGACUAACAAAUAUGCAGCAGAACUUGAGGGGAGCAGAAGCCCCUCACUGUUGUCAGUCUGCAGAUUCUGACUAAAUCAACAAAUAUGCAACACAAACACAAACACCUUUCAACUACACAAACACACCAUGACACACACACCAUCGUCAGAUCAAAGUUUGUUUUUUUUUACAUCUUUUUUUUUCUUAUCAUUUUAUCGAUUUGUAUCAUGAUACCAAAAAUUGAACAUAAAUAGUGCAGUUGUUCGGGAGCUUUGCCAGGUUUUUGUAGCAGCAGAAUGUUGAGUUAAACCUAGUCAUGACUUUUUUAUGCAGAGACAGUAUGUUUAGUAUGUUUUCACACUCACACACUCACCUACACACAUGCACAUACUAAAUAAAUGAAUGAAAAACGUGAUUCUGUUGAAAGACUUUUGACAGUGACCACAGUGACCACAGUGACCACAGUGGUCAGACCAGUUACCCAGGAAUUUAAAGUCAAAGAGUUACAGGAAUGUUGUCAUAAUGUUAUUCAUUUGUAUAAUGUUUGUAAAGCACGUUAUCAGAUUCCAAAAUAAUAACAUUCUGAGAACAUUGAAAAAAACCCAAAAUAAAA